UUACCUACCUGCCGGGCUGUUCGACGCCACAACCAGAAUAAAGGUCAUAUAUUUCUGGGAUAAUAAACUUGAUCACCUACCUGCCGGGCUGUUCAACGCGACAACCGAAUUAGAAUCCCUAGAUUUGAAAGGUAAUCAACUUGUUCACCUACCUGCCGGGCUGUUCAACACCACAACCAAAUUACAAACCC
This is a long non-coding RNA of Sycon ciliatum, 191 nucleotides long. RefSeq lists it as uncharacterized. NCBI's taxonomy places the organism in Eukaryota, Metazoa, Porifera, Calcarea, Leucosolenida, Sycettidae. The record is from RefSeq and is a predicted model, not a curated record. The transcript has 3 exons.